This 253-nucleotide ribosomal RNA is filed under the name uncultured bacterium. RNAcentral describes it as "partial 16S ribosomal RNA". It matches the Rfam family "Bacterial small subunit ribosomal RNA", at positions 524 to 776 of the family's 1533-position model. The record is from RNAcentral.
UACGUACCGUCCAAACGUUAUUCGGAAUUACUGGGCUUAGAGGGUGCGUAGGCGGUCCGAUAAGUUGGGUGUGAAAGACCUCGGCUCAACCGAGGAAUGGCGCCCAAAACUGUCGGACUCGAGUAAGGCAGAGGUGAACGGAACUUAGGGUGGAGCGGUGAAAUGCGUUGAUAUCCUAAGGAACACCAGUAGCGAAAGCGGUUCACUGGGCCUUUACUGACGCUGAUGCACGAAAGCCAGGGGAGCGAACGGG